Molecule: ribosomal RNA, 460 nt
Filed under: uncultured bacterium
Lineage: Bacteria
Description: partial 16S ribosomal RNA
Rfam family: Bacterial small subunit ribosomal RNA
Source: RNAcentral
CCUACGGGAGGCAGCAGUGAGGAAUAUUGGUCAAUGGCCGUAAGGCUGAACCAGCCAAGUCGCGUGAAGGAAGAAGGAUCUAUGGUUUGUAAACUUCUUUUAUAGGGGAAUAAAGGUAUCCACGUGUGGAUAUUUGCAUGUACCCUAUGAAUAAGCAUCGGCUAACUCCGUGCCAGCAGCCGCGGUAAUACGGAGGAUGCGAGCGUUAUCCGGAUUUAUUGGGUUUAAAGGGUGCGUAGGUUGUUUUUUAAGUCAGCGGUGAAAGUUUGUGGCUCAACCCUAGAAUUGCCGUUGAAACUGGAAGUCUUGAGUGUGUGUGAGGUAGGCGGAAUGCGUGGUGUAGCGGUGAAAUGCAUAGAUAUCACGCAGAACUCCGAUUGCGAAGGCAGCUUACUAAGCCAUAACUGACACUGAAGCACGAAAGCGUGGGGAUCAAACAGGAUUAGAUACCCUUGUAGUC